UGGGGAAUAUUGGACAAUGGGGGAAACCCUGAUCCAGCAAUGCCGUGUGAGUGAUGAAGGCCUUUGGGUUGUAAAGCUCUGUCAGGAGGGACGAAAUGCCCCGUAAGGGGAGCUGACGGUACCUCCAAAGGAAGCACCGGCUAACUCCGUGCCAGCAGCCGCGGUAAUACGGAGGGUGCAAGCGUUGUUCGGAAUCACUGGGCGUAAAGCGCGUGUAGGCGGUUUUUUAAGUCGGAUGUGAAAUCCCUCGGCUCAACCGAGGACGUGCAUCCGAUACUGGAAAACUUGAGUAUCGGAGGGGAUGGCGGAAUUCCUGGUGUAGAGGUGAAAUUCGUAGAUAUCAGGAGGAACAUCUGUGGCGAAGGCGGCCAUCUGGAAGAUAACUGACGCUGAGACGCGAAAGCGUGGGGAGCAAACAGG
This 420-nucleotide ribosomal RNA is filed under the name uncultured bacterium. Its description in RNAcentral is "bacterial SSU rRNA". It matches the Rfam family "Bacterial small subunit ribosomal RNA", at positions 355 to 776 of the family's 1533-position model. The record is from RNAcentral.